This 842-nucleotide long non-coding RNA is filed under the name Homo sapiens (human). RNAcentral's name for it is "PREDICTED lncRNA (TCONS_00076757)". Lineage: Eukaryota; Metazoa; Chordata; Mammalia; Primates; Hominidae. The record is from RNAcentral.
UGGGCAGGCUGAUACGAACAGACAAAGCGAGCUAUUUUGGAGAACUAUCCCUAAGAGGCCAGGUGUGGUGGCUCACACCUUAUAAUCCCAACGUUUUGGGAGGACAAGGCAGGAGGAUCACUUGAGGCCCGGAGUUCAAGACCGGCCUGAACAACAUAGCGAGACCCUAUCUCUACCAUAAAAAAGACCCAGAACAUCCUCGCCAGCCUGUGCUCCCUAUGGGGCACCCCCUCCAGUGGAAGUGAGGGCAGCCACGCACCCCUGGGAAUGCCUUAGAGAGGGGCCAAUUGCCAUCGCCAGGGGCCUGACUCUGCAACCAUCCACACCUACGGGGAGUCCAUUUGAGAGAUGAGGAAGCUGAAGCUCCAGGCCCCUGGCUCGUGCUGGUCACCCAACCACCCGGAACCUGGUCGCCAACCCGCUGUCAGUUGCUCGGCAGUGGACUCCUCUCCUGGCUCAGGGCGCGGUUCCGGCAGGCGUCCACCAGGUGGCAGCACCGGCACAUUCUGCAGGCUGUUCCGGCUCAGAGCUCGAUGUAGUGCUCUGGGGUAACCUGGGCCCCAGCCUGUCCCCUCCCGCCCCCUGCAGCCCCUCCUCCCACCGCCUGCAGCCCCUCCUCCCGCUCUGUCCAGCUUCGAACAGGCCACUCAGGCCUCCCAGCCUUACUUCCACCGUGGCCCAGGCCAUGACCUUGGCCCCAACUCUGGGCCCUGCCCUAUCUGUCCUUCCUGGUGGUCUGUCUCAUUCACUGCCCUACCCAGGGGAACAGCACCUGGGGCUGGGGGGCAGAUGGCCACGUGGUCCAAUGGUCUCCUUCAUGGCUGGGGUGAAGCUGGGUGGGG